Molecule: ribosomal RNA, 497 nt
Filed under: uncultured bacterium
Lineage: Bacteria
Description: partial 16S ribosomal RNA
Rfam family: Bacterial small subunit ribosomal RNA
Source: RNAcentral
GAUGAACGCUGGCGGCGUGCCUAAUACAUGCCAGUCGAGCGAACGGACGAGAAGCUUGCUUCUCUGAUGUUAGCGGCGGACGGGUGAGUAACACGUGGAUAACCUACCUAUAAGACUGGGAUAACUUCGGGAAACCGGAGCUAAUACCGGAUGAUAUUUUGAACCGCAUGGUUCAAAAGUGAAAGACGGUCUUGCUGUCACUUAUAGAUGGAUCCGCGCUGCAUUAGCUAGUUGGUAAGGUAACGGCUUACCAAGGCAACGAUGCAUAGCCGACCUGAGAGGGUGAUCGGCCACACUGGAGCGGAGACACGGUCCAGGCUCCUACGGGAGGCAGCAGUAGGGAAUCUUCCGCAAUGGGCGGAAGCCUGACGGAGCAACGCCGCGUGAGUGAUGAAGGUCUUCGGAUCGUAAAACUCUGUUAUUAGGGAAGAACAUAUGUGUAAGUAACUGUGCACAUCUUGACGGUACCUAAUCAGAAAGCCACGGCUAACUACGUG